RNAcentral lists this ribosomal RNA (507 nucleotides) under Triticum aestivum (bread wheat). RNAcentral's name for it is "partial small subunit ribosomal RNA". Lineage: Eukaryota; Viridiplantae; Streptophyta; Magnoliopsida; Poales; Poaceae. The record is from RNAcentral.
AUGCAACUGGAGGCCGAUUUUGCUAGAACCGACAUCAUAAUUUUGCUGCAUCGGUGUUAUUUUUUGCGACAACCGGUUAAUUGUUUUGCUACAUGGCGACGGCUCGGUGCAGCGAUGGUGUCCUGCCAGAUCCAGCAAGGACCAGUGCUGCGGGGACGGCGAGCCGACGGUGCUUCGAAUCAGCGGCACGCGCGGCCAUGGCGGGCUGCGCGAGCGGGCCGGGUGCGCCGGAGAUUUCUAUUUUUUUGUUCUGGCAUGAUGUGCGAGACGAGGAAGGAAAAAAAGGCCCAGAUCCAACGGCAGAUGAAACUGCAAUCGUACGGGUGCGCGCUGACCGGCCGAAAUUCGGCCGGCGCACCGGCGCCUAGUAGUGGCCUAUUGUACAUCUGUCGGGUUUGCGAAACUGCACCGCCCAUCACUGGACUCAUGGCUUCAGUGGUGUUCUUUUGUAUGAUGACAUUUUGGAUGUUAGGUUCCAUUUUGAUGCUUCAGAAAUGUUUGAGCUGA